Non-coding RNA from Schizosaccharomyces pombe (fission yeast), 504 nucleotides. NCBI's taxonomy places the organism in Eukaryota, Fungi, Ascomycota, Schizosaccharomycetes, Schizosaccharomycetales, Schizosaccharomycetaceae. The record is from the annotation of a GenBank genome assembly.
GCAUUAGCGGUUUAGAAUUGCCUACGAUAUACAAAGAUGAUUUAGCUCUUGUUAAAGCUACAUUAAGCCGACGAAGAUCUUGAAGGAAACCGAUUCCACCGCUCAUCGAACUCCUAACGCAAGAAAAAAUUAUAAUGUCCUUUUCCUGUCCCUGAAACCCAUCGACGGUAUGAAUAUCAAGAUGCUUGAAUAUAAUGGAACCAUACUUUCUUUGAAAUUGUGAUCGAAGCUGUUGUACUUGACUUCUAUAAGGGGUAACAACUCCAAUUUUCCCCUCAAAAUCAAUGUUUAGAUAACAUUGAAUUAGCCUCUCAUAUAAUAAUAAAAUAAACGAAGCCUCUUCCACAUUGUACAGAGACUUUGAGUUGGAAAAAGCUUCCGUCCCGUGAACAUUAAAAAAUCGAUAAAUACCUAGCUGCGGAUCCUCGUGCCAAGGUCGAGAUGUCACUGCUGACAUAUUGGGACCGUCAAGUAGUUUUGAAUUAUAGAAAAACUUGCUGGGAA